RNAcentral lists this ribosomal RNA (249 nucleotides) under Triticum aestivum (bread wheat). Its description in RNAcentral is "partial small subunit ribosomal RNA". Lineage: Eukaryota; Viridiplantae; Streptophyta; Magnoliopsida; Poales; Poaceae. The record is from RNAcentral.
AUGGCAUCUCUACAUGCAGCUGUUGCGGCCGCACAAGGUACUACGAUGGUUGAACCACAGUUUGGAAGACCUGCUACCACACUUGGCCCUGCAAUUCCUAGAGACCCUCCAAAAUCAACAACAAAAGGGAGGGCAAAGUCAAAAAGAAUUCAAUCAGCACUUGAGCUGCAUCCGAAGAGAAAGAACAAGUGCAGCUAUUGUGGUUUUGUUAACCACAAUGGUGCAAGCUGCAGGACCAGAUUGGUGUAA